RNAcentral lists this ribosomal RNA (322 nucleotides) under uncultured eukaryote. Its description in RNAcentral is "partial 18S ribosomal RNA". It matches the Rfam family "Eukaryotic small subunit ribosomal RNA", at positions 1470 to 1796 of the family's 1831-position model. The record is from RNAcentral.
CCCUUAGAUGUUCUGGGCCGCACGCGUGCUACACUGAGUGGAUCAGCGGGUCAGGUUGCGCGAAAGUGUUUCCUAAUCUUUAAAUCCGCUCGUGAUGGGGAUUGACGGUUGCAAUUUUCCGUCAUGAACGAGGAAUACCUUGUAAGCGCGGGUCAUCAUCCCGCGCUGAAUACGUCCCUGCCCUUUGUACACACCGCCCGUCGCUCCUACCGAUUGAGUGGUCCGGUGAGGCUUUGGGAUCUGAGCGGAAAUGGCGUUUCGCUGUUUCUGCCCGGAAAACUCAGUCGAACCUUAUCAUUUAGAGGAAGGAGAAGUCGUAACA